GCCGGAGGAAGGUGAGGAUGAUGUCAAGUCAGCAUGACCUUUAUAUCCAGGGCUACACACACGCUACAAUGGUCUGUACAAUUGGUUGCCAAGCCGCGAGGCGGAGCCAAUCCGUAAAGCAGGCCUCAGUUCAGAUUGCAGUCUGCAACUCGACUGCAUGAAGCCGGAGUUGCUAGUAACCGCAGGUCAGCAAUACUGCGGUGAAUACGUUCCCGGGUCUU
Molecule: ribosomal RNA, 221 nt
Filed under: uncultured Anaerolineaceae bacterium
Lineage: Bacteria; Bacillati; Chloroflexota; Anaerolineae; Anaerolineales; Anaerolineaceae
Description: partial 16S ribosomal RNA
Rfam family: Bacterial small subunit ribosomal RNA
Source: RNAcentral